GGAAGAUGUUUUCUGAUAAUGAGCUAGGAUGUAUGAAGUUGUUUUCCUUGAUCUUUACUGUCAGGUCCCAAGAUUAUUAAUAAAUUGUUGGUUUCUGGGGGGAGAUUGCAGGGGGCCUUAAAUCUGGGCUAGUAUAUUUGAAUACAUUGAUACAGAUGAAUUUGGAGUGCUAUAUCAGAGUUGUGACAGCAAAUACAUGCAUGUCAGUAGGAAUGUG
This 217-nucleotide unclassified non-coding RNA is filed under the name Hevea brasiliensis (rubber tree). Lineage: Eukaryota; Viridiplantae; Streptophyta; Magnoliopsida; Malpighiales; Euphorbiaceae. The record is from RNAcentral.